GACGAACGCUGGCGGCGUGCCUAAUACAUGCAAGCAGAACGCUGAAGAGAGGAGCUUGCUCUUCUUGGAUGAGUUGCGAACGGGUGAGUAACGCGUAGGUAACCUGCCUGGUAGCGGGGGAUAACUAUUGGAAACGAUAGCUAAUACCGCAUAAAAUGGAUUAUCGCAUGAUAAUCCAUUGAAAGGUGCAAAUGCAUCACUACCAGAUGGACCUGCGUUGUAUUAGCUAGUUGGUGGGGUAACGGCUCACCAAGGCGACGAUACAUAGCCGACCUGAGAGGGUGAUCGGCCACACUGGGACUGAGACACGGCCCAGACUCCUACGGGAGGCAGCAGUAGGGAAUCUUCGGCAAUGGACGGAAGUCUGACCGAGCAACGCCGCGUGAGUGAAGAAGGUUUUCGGAUCGUAAAGCUCUGUUGUAAGAGAAGAACGAGUGUGAGAGUGGAAAGUUCACACUGUGACGGUAUCUUACCAGAAAGGGACGGCUAACUACGUG
RNAcentral lists this ribosomal RNA (497 nucleotides) under uncultured bacterium. Its description in RNAcentral is "partial 16S ribosomal RNA". It matches the Rfam family "Bacterial small subunit ribosomal RNA", at positions 28 to 507 of the family's 1533-position model. The record is from RNAcentral.